Neogale vison (American mink) is the source of this 435-nucleotide long non-coding RNA. RefSeq lists it as uncharacterized. The record is from RefSeq and is a predicted model, not a curated record. The transcript has 3 exons. NCBI's taxonomy places the organism in Eukaryota, Metazoa, Chordata, Mammalia, Carnivora, Mustelidae.
AGUGUAAGAAACAGCUCAUUGUUUGGAGGAAACUAAGCCAAGCAGCUUGAUGUUUUUGCAGCAUAAAAUAUGAGGCUGGAAGUGGUGUAAGCUCUGUGCCCUCAAGUUUGCCUAACAACAUGUGUGCUCAAUGGGAGGAAACUGACACAUGUUUGGAGAAUGAGUUACACCAAGCUGAGGAUGGAAACUGCCAAAGCACCAGAAGCAGAGCACAGAGAAACCCCAGGAUUGUUUUGGAAAAAUGAAGAAAAUGCAGGAAACCAGCCAAAUGCCAUGGGAUACAGAGGUGCUGACUGGCAGAAAUCCUGACUGGUAAAUGCAGUCUCAUAACCAGCUCUCAACCAAGUCAUGCUCUGGUGGAAAGGGGCAUUCCAUCUGCAGUCAGCCAGGAAAGUUGUCUGUGCCAGUUCUAUCCGGUUCUCCAACGAGACCAUG